GCCUAUUUAAACAGGGCAGUUUGGCUGCAGGAGGUCAGGCAGCUGUGAAUGACCUGGAGGAAAGGGGGAGCUGCAAGGGGAUGGGAUUCAGACAUGGAAGUAGCAUGGCCCAAGUGCCCUGCUUGGCUUGCAAAGCUUGUGGAUUCCAUUUGCAUCGCUGUUGCACUGCUGCUCAGGGGACUAGUGCACAAAAAGGUGAGGAACUGAGACCCAGAGGCAUUAAAUGACUUGCGCCAGAGCCCAGAGGAGUUACGCAGCUGAGCAGAGAACUGAACUUCAGGUCAUCCAAGCCAAAGCCUAGUGUCCUGGCUACUUGACAGUCCUUCCGCUGUGCCAACUGAGUGUAAAUGUGUACUACUGUAGACGAGCUGGACUGAGUUCCAUUCUUCCUGGCAGGUGAAGAGUAGAGAGAGUUGUUGUCUUACUGGUAUUACAGGCUUCCUGCCUGCUUACAAGUGUUGGACCGAGCUUCUGCCCUGAUGUGUUUCUUACUUAGUUUCCACAUAUUGGUUCCAUUUUUAAGCAUUUCACAUAGAAUUAAUUUGUUUUUUACACCUAUUUGUGGUUUUGUUACCUGGGACAAUAGUAUCCAGUUUGACACCAAGCACUCUGCACUCAUCAGCAAGUGACAGGGCAUAGAACCAUUCCUUUAGGUUCUGUAAAAAUCUAUUAGCAUUCAAAGCCCGCUAAAAAACUCUUAUCUUUCCAAGUUGCAUUUAGCAUUUGAUUCGCUUUACUGUACUCUUUCUGGGACGUAUGCUUUGUCCUCUUAUUUCUACAGCCUUACUUCACUGUUUUUAUGAGUCAUACUUUAGAAAAUAAACCGUAUCUAGGAAUGGUGAGACUUAAUGAAUUAGUGAACACGUGCAUAUGAAUUUCCAUUCUUGCUAACAUGGUCCAGUACAUAAAGCAGUUCUUGGUUUUGGUCCUUCUUCAGAAAUAUAGCACUCAAGCGCAUUAUAAGUGCAUCUCAAUUCAGGAUAGCACUUAGGUAUGUUUUUAACUUGUAAGCAUGUGCUUAUGUGCCUUUGCUGAAGCCAUGGCUCUAUUCUGAACUGUCAUCCUGGGUAAGUGUCUUCAUUGUACCUAAGAUUCCCUAUUUGUAAAUGUGACUAAUGGUGCUUAUACACACCUUUGUUAAGUGUUUUGAGACCUUAGAUGAAAAGUAUGAUAUAAGUGCUACAUAACAUUAUCUUUUCUCUCUGUUCAUGCUGGGCUGAUUCUCACUGGGUGUGUCUACAUGAGAUGCUUUACUGCGCAGCAGACUAAUUUGCUGUACAAUAAGGCAUCACCAUCUAUCCAUGUGUGGCAAUUAGGGUGCAGUAGACUAAUUUACUGUGCUGCUGGAUAGUUUCAUCAGAUACAAGAGGUAUCUGACAGCACAGUAAAUUACUGCACUUAAACACAUGUGCAGAUUAGAACAUUGGGAUUAGUUUGUCAGUUUGAGCCAGAGUAUAUUCAGUCAUGUUAUUUGCAAGUGUAGAUGUGCCCUCUGUUACCUGUUGAUCAGUAAAGAGGGAAUUAGCAAUAAAAGUUUGAUAUAGUCUUGUAAAAUGAAAGCAAAAUAAAAAUCAAUUCAAAUAUCACAUUA
This is a long non-coding RNA of Alligator sinensis (Chinese alligator), 1591 nucleotides long. RefSeq lists it as uncharacterized. The record is from RefSeq and is a predicted model, not a curated record. Lineage: Eukaryota; Metazoa; Chordata; Crocodylia; Alligatoridae. The transcript is spliced from 3 exons.